Molecule: ribosomal RNA, 490 nt
Filed under: uncultured bacterium
Lineage: Bacteria
Description: partial 16S ribosomal RNA
Rfam family: Bacterial small subunit ribosomal RNA
Source: RNAcentral
AUUGAACGCUGGCGGCAGGCCUAACACAUGCAAGUCGAACGGUAACAGGAAGAAGCUUGCUUCUUUGCUGACGAGUGGCGGACGGGUGAGUAAUGUCUGGGAAACUGCCUGAUGGAGGGGGAUAACUACUGGAAACGGUAGCUAAUACCGCAUAACGUCGCAAGACCAAAGAGGGGGACCUUCGGGCCUCUUGCCAUCGGAUGUGCCCAGAUGGGAUUAGCUAGUAGGUGGGGUAACGGCUCACCUAGUCGACGAUCCCUAGCUGGUCUGAGAGGAUGACCAGCCACACUGGAACUGAGACACGGUCCAGACUCCUACGGGAGGCAGCAGUGGGGAAUAUUGCACAAUGGGCGCAAGCCUGAUGCAGCCAUGCCGCGUGUAUGAAGAAGGCCUUCGGGUUGUAAAGUACUUUCAGCGGGGAGGAAGGGAGUAAAGUUAAUACCUUGGCUCAUUGACGUUACCCGCAGAAGAAGCACCGGCUAACUCCGUG